This 253-nucleotide ribosomal RNA is filed under the name uncultured bacterium. RNAcentral's name for it is "partial 16S ribosomal RNA". It matches the Rfam family "Bacterial small subunit ribosomal RNA", at positions 524 to 776 of the family's 1533-position model. The record is from RNAcentral.
UACGUAGGGUGCGAGCGUUAAUCGGAAUUACUGGGCGUAAAGCGUGCGCAGGCGGUAAGUUAAGUCUGAUGUGAAAGCCCCGGGCUCAACCUGGGAAUGGCAUUGGAAACUGGCUUGCUAGAGUGUGGCAGAGGGGGGUGGAAUUCCGCGUGUAGCAGUGAAAUGCGUAGAGAUGCGGAGGAACACCGGUGGCGAAGGCGGCGUCCUGGACCAAUACUGACACUGAUGAGCGAAAGCCAGGGGAGCAAACGGG